UUCACUCCCACCCCACGCAUCCCUAGCCCUAACCUCUUCGCCGAGCUCUCUUCGGAUCUGCCGCACGGUUCUGUCUCGCUGCGCCUCCACCUCUCGGCGUCCCUCUCAUGCUUCGUCUCUUGUAUUCUGCUCGUUCUCUCGUGCCUAGUGUGCUCCACUGCUCGUAUUCUACUCGCCGCACCUCUGUCCCUCACUACGUCGUGCCUACGUGCCUCCGUGCUUCCAUGCCUCCCUCGCCGUGCCACGCCUCCGUCCCUUGCGGCUGGUUUCUCUACCUGAAGUGCUGCUCGUUGUCCACGGUUCUGCCUCUACAACAGCUACUUAUGAUGUUAGUGUUCAGAACACUUUAAGAUAUGCAUGUGUUCCAGUUUAUGGUAUCUCAAGAUUGAAUCUUCUGAGCUAUGCUAGUUCAUUCCAAAUUUAUGUGGCUCACUUGGCUGCAAUAUCAGAGAAGUUAUAUAGCCAAGCUCAUGUUUGUCUACAUAGAUCCUUCUUUGAGUACUAUCUUCGAAGAGCAGGGUCAACCAUUUUCACCACUUUUUUAGUCCAGAUAGACAUUGGUUCGAUACCAGGUGUAUAUGGUGGUGACGGAAGAACUCCCGAAGAGAUGAAUAGACCUCACAAAAAUGAAUGGUUCAGAGGGUGGGAGGCUGCAAUACAAGAACUGAUUUUUAGAUUAUUUGUAUUACACUGAAACUAUAUUUUCUAUGAUUUUCGUUAUUAAAUUUCAAUUUUCAAUAACACAAAUUACAUAAUCUUGUGAUUUUUUAUGGUGUACCAUGAUAUGAUAAAGACACAAACUAUAUUAUAUGAAUCCACACAAAUGUAAAAUAUUACAUGAUCAUAAUGAAUAUUUGAA
Non-coding RNA from Arachis ipaensis, 859 nucleotides. NCBI's taxonomy places the organism in Eukaryota, Viridiplantae, Streptophyta, Magnoliopsida, Fabales, Fabaceae. The record is from RefSeq and is a predicted model, not a curated record.